AUUGAACGCUGGCGGCAGGCCUAACACAUGCAAGUCGAGCGGAUGAAGGGAGCUUGCUCCUGGAUUCAGCGGCGGACGGGUGAGUAAUGCCUAGGAAUCUGCCUGGUAGUGGGGGAUAACGUCCGGAAACGGGCGCUAAUACCGCAUACGACCUGAGGGAGAAAGUGGGGGAUCUUCGGACCUCACGCUAUCAGAUGAGCCUAGGUCGGAUUAGCUAGUUGGUGGGGUAAAGGCCUACCAAGGCGACGAUCCGUAACUGGUCUGAGAGGAUGAUCAGUCACACUGGAACUGAGACACGGCCCAGACUCCUACGGGAGGCAGCAGUGGGGAAUAUUGGACAAUGGGCGAAAGCCUGAUCCAGCCAUGCCGCGUGUGUGAAGAAGGUCUUCGGAUUGUAAAGCACUUUAGGUUGGGAGGAAGAGCAGUAAGUUAAUACCUUGCUUUUUUGACGGUACCAACAGAAUAAGCACCGGCUAACUUCGUG
RNAcentral lists this ribosomal RNA (484 nucleotides) under uncultured bacterium. RNAcentral describes it as "partial 16S ribosomal RNA". It matches the Rfam family "Bacterial small subunit ribosomal RNA", at positions 30 to 507 of the family's 1533-position model. The record is from RNAcentral.